GUGGGGAAAAUUGGACAAUGGGGGGAACCCUGAUCCAGCCAUGCCGCGUGUGUGAAGAAGGCCUUUUGGUUGUAAAGCACUUUAAGCGAGGAGGAGGCUACCGAGAUUAAUACUCUUGGAUAGUGGACGUUACUCGCAGAAUAAGCACCGGCUAACUCUGUGCCAGCAGCCGCGGUAAUACAGAGGGUGCAAGCGUUAAUCGGAUUUACUGGGCGUAAAGCGCGCGUAGGUGGCCAAUUAAGUCAAAUGUGAAAUCCCCGAGCUUAACUUGGGAAUUGCAUUCGAUACUGGUUGGCUAGAGUAUGGGAGAGGAUGGUAGAAUUCCAGGUGUAGCGGUGAAAUGCGUAGAGAUCUGGAGGAAUACCGAUGGCGAAGGCAGCCAUCUGGCCUAAUACUGACACUGAGGUGCGAAAGCAUGGGGAGCAAACAGGAUUAGAAACCCUAGUAGUCC
Molecule: ribosomal RNA, 451 nt
Filed under: uncultured bacterium
Lineage: Bacteria
Description: partial 16S ribosomal RNA
Rfam family: Bacterial small subunit ribosomal RNA
Source: RNAcentral